GAGCGCGACCAUGGAGGCGGGGAUCACCCGAUCCCAUUCCGAACUCGGAAGUUAAGCCCGCCAUCGCCGAAAGUACUGCGGAG
This 83-nucleotide ribosomal RNA is filed under the name Gordonibacter sp. RACS_AR68. Lineage: Bacteria; Bacillati; Actinomycetota; Coriobacteriia; Eggerthellales; Eggerthellaceae. The record is from RNAcentral.